UAGGUAGCGCCUCGUGAAUUCAUCUCCGGGGGUAGAGCACUGUUUCGGCUAGGGGGCCAUCCCGGCUUACCAACCCGAUGCAAACUGCGAAUACCGGAGAAUGUUAUCACGGGAGACACACGGCGGGUGCUAACGUCCGUCGUGAAGAGGGAAACAACCCAGACCGCCAGCUAAGGUCCCAAAGUCAUGGUUAAGUGGGAAACGAUGUGGGAAGGCCCAGACAGCCAGGAUGUUGGCUUAGAAGCAGCCAUCAUUUAAAGAAAGCGUAAUAGCUCACUGGUCGAGUCGGCCUGCGCGGAAGAUGUAACGGGGCUAAACCAUGCACCGAAGCUGCGGCAGCGACGUUUAUGCGUUGUUGGGUAGGGGAGCGUUCUGUAAGCCU
Molecule: ribosomal RNA, 382 nt
Filed under: Salmonella enterica subsp. enterica serovar Bareilly
Lineage: Bacteria; Pseudomonadati; Pseudomonadota; Gammaproteobacteria; Enterobacterales; Enterobacteriaceae
Description: partial 23S ribosomal RNA
Rfam family: Bacterial large subunit ribosomal RNA
Source: RNAcentral